AAUAAACGCUGGCGGCGUGCCUAACACAUGCAAGUCGAGCGAGAAAGCUCCUUCGGGAGUUAGUAAAGCGGCGAACGGGUGAGCAACACGUGAGAAUCUACCCUUUAGUGAAGAAUACCCUCGAGAAAUCGAGGCUAAUACUGCAUACGUCCCUUCGGGGAGAAAGAUGGCCUCUUUGCUAUCGCUAAAGGAUGAGCUUGCGUACUAUUAGCUAGUUGGCGGGGUAAAGCCCACCAAGGCAAUGAUGGUUAACCGGCCUGAGAGGGUGUACGGUCACACUGGAACUUAGACACGGUCCAGACUCCUACGGGAGGCAGCAGUGAGGAAUCUUGCGCAAUGGGCGAAAGCCUGACGCAGCGACGCCGCGUGGAGGAUGACGGUUUUCGGAUUGUAAACUCCUGUUAAGCGGGAAGAAAGCCUUGUUUCUAAUACAAGCAAGGUAUGACGGUACCGCUAGAGAAAGCACCGGCUAACUUCGUGCCAGCAGCCGCGGUAAAGUGCGCG
This 504-nucleotide ribosomal RNA is filed under the name uncultured bacterium. RNAcentral describes it as "bacterial SSU rRNA". It matches the Rfam family "Bacterial small subunit ribosomal RNA", at positions 29 to 531 of the family's 1533-position model. The record is from RNAcentral.